UAGAAGAUAACUGAAGAAAAUUGCAUGUAAUAAGAUAGCUGCAAAUGAAUGUACAAGUCCUUCAGCAGUUAUUAAAAAUACUUCAUUGCCUCAGGUAUGGCAUGGCAAUGUAGAAGGAACAAUGAAGACAGUGGUCAAGAAAACAUGAACAGAAGCAAAUGAUGAAAAUAUUUGAUGUUGAAAAAUUCACAAGUUAUGUAGAAAAAUAGACGACUAAUUAUAACUGAAUAAUAAAUUGUUUUAUUUAAAAUAUAGCCUACUGAAAACAUGUGUUCUUAAUUUUUAGUCAGACCUAUUUUCAACCUACCUUAAUGACACUUGUCAAACAUUAGCUCAUUUAUGGGUAGUGAUUCUUACUGAAGUGGACAGUUGGAGUCAUUUCUAGUAUCUUUUUAGGUUUGGGGGAGUUUCUUGUCCUAAUAAUUGCACUCCUUGCUUUUGUACAUAAAAAAAUGGCUGAUGGGAAUUUCCUGAAGUCUUUGUUUUUUAUGUAUUUAGGACAAGGUUUA
Long non-coding RNA from Octodon degus (degu), 509 nucleotides. RefSeq lists it as uncharacterized. The record is from RefSeq and is a predicted model, not a curated record. The transcript is spliced from 3 exons. Lineage: Eukaryota; Metazoa; Chordata; Mammalia; Rodentia; Octodontidae.